ACACGCGCACACACACAAAAAAGGGGAACAGACGGGGAUUUUCUGGGCAGGAAACAAAACAAAAGAAACGAAAAGGGACGAGCAAAAAAACAGAGAGAGAGAGAGAUGAGCAAGCAAAAAUCACAAAAAUCUUGUUCUUCUUCUUCUUCUUCACCUUUUUCCUACACCUUAUACUGCCAUGGAAAUGCAGCCCCAGUAGCUCCACAAUACACCAACAAAACAGUCUACUUCCACCACUAAAAAAUCAGUGGAAGCUCUCAUCUUCAUUCACCACAUAAACCUGCCGGAAAACUCCAUGAAAGAGACUUGAAACUUCAUGAAAACCAGCAAAACAGAGCUUCUUCCUCAACCAAAAAGAACAUUAGCUCUCAUCCAUGUGAAGCCACUGAAAACCACCUUAAAUCACCCCAAACCAUCCCCUAUUUACUACUGAAGCCCAGCUUCAAAACACAGCAAAAGCUGCUGCCAAGGUCACCCGAAAAAGAAAAAAAUCCGUUUGAGCUCAAGUUCGAAGCAUUCUUGUCCAAGUUCGUCGUUUGAGGUUCGAGUUCUCAGUCGAGGUUCCAUCAUUGGCGAGGUGUACGAUCUGAGAUUAGUGAGCUUUUUGGGCAGGUUCUUCGCUUCAGGUCGAGUUCUCCAUUUUUUUGGACUGUCGUCUGAUUUUAUGUAAGUUGGUUUGGAGUUUUCGGCUAAAUAAAGGUUCCCUUUUAUUCUUUAAUAUGCUUCUUAGUUCAUGGUAUCUGUUGCAAUUUUGUUUGUCUUAUGAAAGUUAGAUGAAUAUUCUUAUUAGUACUUGAUUACAACAUGCCUAAAUCAUGAAAUCGCUUGAGAAUUUCUAUGGGGUCGAUGUAUAUUUUAGUGUUAUGAAUUUGGAAUCAAUGUGUACUGAUAGGAAGGUGUUGUUUCAUUUAUUAAAUUUGAUAUAAAACUAAUUGAAAUGUGUUAAGGAAAAUAAAUAACGUUUGUAAACAGAGAUUGAAAAGCAAGGUUUGGACUUAGCGCAAAGAAUUUGGGGCAUUGGAUGGAUUCACAUUUAAGAAGGAAUGAGUUAUUAUGAUUAUUGGGCCAUCUGAUACUUGGCAAAGUAGCAGGUAAGGAAUCCCAACGUGGUAAAUCCAUAUACUAAGACCAUUUUCGUAAAUAAUAAUUUAUCUUCUCAUACCAAAAUAUUUCUAACACGAUAGCAUACUUUAAGCACACUCUUAAUUAAUUAAAUUAUCGUGAUUAUGUAUACGUUCGCGAGAUAUAAUUAUGAUUUCCAUCAUUAAAACCAAAGUAUGUGUUCGUGCAACUUUGGAGAAAACAAUCUUAAUAAAAAUAAAAUAUUAUUGAUUGUGUGCACGUUCGUGUGAUACGAGUACAAUUUAAAAAUAAAUAUUCGUAUAAAAUGCUUUAGGUGCGACUUAAUCUAUCAUCGUGAUUGUGUAUAAGUUCGCGUGACAUAAUUAUAAUUUUUAAAAUAAAUCAAGGUAUGCGUUCGCACAACUUUGGGUCAAACAAUCUUAAUAAUAAUAAAGUGUUAUUAGUUGUGUACACGUACGCGUGAUAUGACUUUGACACACCAAACAAAACGAGUACACGUACACAUGACUCGUUUUGAGAUAAUUCCAUAAUUCAAUAAUCAAACAAUUAAAAGCGGUUAAAAGGGUAAAGGCACAUAGGUUUAAAAAUAAGUAAUUAAAAUAAUUUAAUUAAGCCAGGUAUGAUUAAAGCGACCGUGCUAAAACCACAGAAAUUAGGAGUGCCUAACACCUUCUCCCGGGUUAAUAGAAUCCCUUACCUGGUCUUCUGGUUUAGCAGACUUUAAAACAGAGUCAAAUUUCUUCGAUUUGAGAUUUAAAAUAAACCGGUGACUUGGGACACCAUAAAGUAUUCCAAGUGGAGACUCUGAAAAAAUAAAUAAUCCCAUUUCGAUUAAUAUCACUUUAAUUGAAAAAACUCUCUUAUGUCCCUUUCGGGUAAAAAGGAGGUGUGACAGCUCAGGCGACUCUACUGGGGAUCGAACCUAGAAUCUCUGGUUCAGGGUUGAAGAAUUCGAGCUUGUUAUUGUGAUUUUUACUUGGCUUUAUUUAUUGUUGAUAUUACUGUAUUUUGUGGGUCUAAUAUGCUAAUUGCCGCUUAUUUACCGCUUUGAUAUUGUUUGAAUUGUAUUAAAUUGUCUUCUUACGCCUUCCUUCUGAGUCUUCUAAAAAAUAGUGCACACGUACGCGUGGCCUAAUUUUCUGUUAAAGGUCGUACCAAAUAGAGCGAGGAUGGAUCAGCCACUAGGCCAGGUAGACUUUUGUGCUCCAAGUACGUCGCUCCCACCUAGGCUCAAGUUGUCCGCUUGGGUAAGCCAGGUCUAGAACACAAUUCCAGGUUUAAACCUAGAAUAACAUAACCUCAUACCGAAUCCCUAGUAGGAACAUUUGUUUGCAUCACGUGCAUUUGACUUUGAAGACUCAACACAGGAGUUGGGUCCGUCUAAGACAGGUGUACCCGAAAUGAAAGACCAUCCUGAUGCAUCUUACGUGCUAUUUGUAAAUUUAUUUGUUUCGGUUUGUAUAUUGACCGGCUAAGGAAAAAAAUAGCAGAAAACCAAGAGUGAGGUAGGAUAGAGAAUUCACCCGGUUCUGAAAAUCCCGAUAUUUGAAAAAAUGCCUCGAAACUCUGCCAAAAUUUUUGGAAAAAAAAAGAGGAAAAGAAAAUGUAUUUCAAAGAAUGAAAGUGAGUCAAUAUCAUGUUUUUUCCAAUUUUGUCAAAACUGACCUAACUACACGGAUCCGAUUCUCACCUGAUGUGAGAUACAUAGGCAAACCUCAUCGGUUCUGGCCCACAAUUUUCAAAAUAAAUCCAAAAAUAUUUUUUCUUUACUUACUUCUUUAGAAAGUCUUUCUUUUAGAUCCCAAUUUUUAAAAAUACAAAAAUAUUUUCUUUUAAUUUCUUCUCAAAAUCCAAAAAUAUUUUCAUUCUUCUUUCAAAAUUUGAAAAGAAAAUUCUAGAUUCAAAAAUAUUUCCUUUUUCUUUAGAAGCAUUUCAUUCAUAAAUUCAAAAUAAAAUUUCAAAAAAUCCAAAAAUAUUUUCUUUCUUCUUUAAAAGUUUUUCUUUCGAAAAUUCAAAAAAAAUAUUUUCUUUCUUCUUUAAAAGUCUUUCUUUUCAAAAAUUUUAAAAAGAAAACAACAAACAAACAAAUCAAAAUCAAAAAAUAUUUUGUUUCUUCUUUUCAAGUCUUUCUUUCGAAAAAAGUCCAAAAUCCAAAAAAAGAGUUAGUUUAUUUACUUUCUUCCUAAUCUUUCCGAACUACGCAAAGAUAUGAUUCAUGCGGCGUCAUGAUACGUAGGCAACCUACAUCAGGUUCGAUCGAAUGGUUUAAAAGAAAAAAAGAAACAAAAGAAAAGAGAGAGAAUAAAGAAAGAAAAAGAAGAAGNNNNNNNNNNNNNNNNNNNNNNNNNAUGGGAUGACAUGGCCUGGGCCUUUGUCAAACAGUUCUAAUAAAACAUCGACAUUGCACCAGACCACAAUUCCCUUUCAAACCUGAAGAAGAAACCAAUUGAAAGUUUCAGGAAAUAUGCCACUUAAUGGAGAGAGCAAGCGACUAGAGUUAAGCCACCCAUGGAUGACCACGAGCUAAUCACUAUAUUCCUUCAGGCGGAAGAGCCAGAUUACUUUCAAAACAUGAUGUCCGUAGUUGGCAAAUCCUUCUCGGAAGCAAUCAAAAUGGGAGAAAUGGUAGAGAUUGGCGUUAAUACAGGUAGAAUUAUAAGUCAAGCAGCUCUCAAAGCUGCAACUCAGUCUGUCCAAAUUGAAUCUGGUAAUUUUAGUGAAACGAAUGAUAAGGUUGAAGAAAUCAUGAUGACAUUAGGGUUGAGAAGAGGUCCUAGGAGAAUAGCUCGAAGGUAUGACCAGCCUCGUCUAUAUUUUGAUGAUUCCCUUGAGCACUACUAUCCACCUCAGAACCCACAAUACUCUAUUGCUCCACCCCAGUAUGUUGUCCAGCCACCAAGACACCCCAUAAGGCGAGCACCAGCACCGCAAAAUCUUCACCAGCCUCUAUAAAAUUUUCAAGUGCCCUAUAACCUACAUCCAAGCCAGGGGUAUAGAGGGGAACAAAGGUUGAAAGAUAAUUUUACCCCAAUAGGAGAGUCCUAUGCAAGAUUAUUUGAGAAGUUAAAGCAUUAUGACAUGAUUGCACCCAUUCCUCCAAAUCAUGUGGACCCACGUGAAAUAAGCUUUGACUCUUCUAAAAGGUGUAAAUACCAUUCCAAUGCCCAUGGGCUAAAUGUCAAGCUUAUCAAUUGAAAAGUCAUUCCCUCCUCACUAGGAAGGAAUCUUGGUAGCUUGUUUUGAUUUUUUUCUAUUAUCUGGGUUAUUUCAGGGUUGUGAUCCAGAUUUUAUUUGUUUUAUUGAGUCAAACCCUUCUAUCCUUCCAUUCUGUUUGUGUGAGUCUUGUCCGUUUGUUCUAUUGCUAUUUUCAUCAUCCGGGUUAUUUUAGGGUUGUAACUCGGAUCGUAGGUUGUUUGUCUUGUUGUUUACUCAAUGAAAUACAGUUUGUACUUUUGUGUCAUUCCGUGCUUAGUUCUUUUCCGCUAGUUUUAGUGAUAUGACAUGCGUGCGAAAAUUUUGGCCAGAUUUUAGAAAACUGAUUUAGUCUUGAAUUGGAUAAUUGAGAACAAGACACUUUUGAGGAUGAAAAAGAGUUGAAAUACCUUGGAAUUAAGACCGAGUAAAAUUCAAGUGGUACUAUAAUAGUCAUACUCAUGGAGGUUAAGGAUAUUUACCUUCAUAGUCAUUGUGAAGAUCGGUUUGAGGAAGAAUCAAUUGAAGUAUAUUGGAAAGUUUGUCAUUAAGUGAUGGAAGUGUCUUGUGACCACGACACACCAAGAAGACAGACAUGUUCGUCAAUGUCGUGAUCGCGAAAAGAUACUAUGUUUGACAUUCUCGAGGCUGAGAGGCCCUUUUUUCUGCUACCCAAAUACUUUAUAUCCUUUAUUACCCCUUUUGAGCCUGUGUUAUUUUCUUUGACAAAUCUCUUUUGGAAUCAAGUUUAGAGUUAAAAGUCUAAUAAAAAAUAAAAAUGGAAAAAUGAUAAAAAAAAAGUCCAUACCCCAAGAGUACAAACUGAGGCAGCUUUUAGAAAAUUCAAGUGAAAAAAUGAAGAAGAAAAUAAUUGUCUGUAAUGAUCUGGCCGGUCGUUUCAUGAGUUACCGCUCUUUUUCCCCCAUUUCUACUUCUUUAUGUCUUGUUCAGCUGUAUUAUGUGGUAUUGGGGUGGUUGUUCAGCUGUAUUAUGUGGUAUUAAAGAAUGAGACACUUCGUCUCUUUUGAGUAAGCUUAAGUUGGAAAAGUCAACCGGAUGUUAACUUAUGUGAACAAGGUCUCGAAUGUGAAUUCCGAUGGUUCGGAUAGCCUCUUUAGGUGAUUUGGGAGUUAGGUUCGUGAUCAGAAUGUAUUUUGGAGGUCAGUGGUAGAUUCAGGCUUGAAUUGGGGAAAUUAGAAUUUUGGCGUUUUCAGGUUGGUAGUGGAAAUUUUGAUAUUGGGGUCGGAAUGGAAUUCCAGAAAUUGGAUAGGUCCGUUGUGUAAUUUUGUGAUAUGUGUGCAAAAUUUCAGGUUAUUCGGGCGAGGUUUGAUAGACUUUUUGAUCGAAAGCGGAAUUUGGAAGUUUUGGAAUUCUUAGGCUUGAAUCCGAGGGGAUCAGAUGUUUUAAUAUUGUUUUGAGCAUUCCGAAGGUUGGAAUAUGUUUGAAUGAUGUUAUGGGAUGUGUUGGCAUGUUUAGUUGAGGUCCCAAGGGCCUCGGGUGAGUUUUGGGUGGUUAACGGACCAAUUCUUGGUUUUGGGGAGUUGCAGAUUUUCUGGUUUUUAUUGCAGAGGAAAUUGUUCUUUGCGUUCGUGAAGAAGCGCUGGACCUAGGGGAGAAAAUGUUCUUCGCGUUCACGAGCCUGGGGUCACAUUCGUGUAGGUUUGGAUUCCAUUGAAUCGCGAAUGCGUGAGAGGAGUCCCGUUCGCGUAGGGUAAUUGGAGCAGCUGGGACCCCAUGAGUUUUGUGCUUUGCAUUCGCGUAGGUAAGGUCGCGUUCGCGAAGGCUUGGGCAGUUGAAGCUUCGCGUUUGCGUGAAGGGAGCGGCGUUCAUGAAAGAGGAAUAUUUGGCCAGUGAGGUUUUGUGCUUAGCGAACACGAGGCUUUGAGCGCGUUCGUGAAAAAGGAAUUAAUGUCUAGGCAGAAUGUUUAAAUAGUUUCCUUCGCGAUUCUUGGUCCAUUUUCUCCAUUGUUGAACGGUUUGAAGCUUUUUGAGAGGGAUUGUAGAGGGAAUCGAAGGGAAACACUUGGAGCUAAGAAUUUGGAACUCAAUACUCGAUUCUCUGGUGAUUUCUAUCUAAUUAGACAUGAAAUUCGUGGGAUUUAAAGCCUAAAAUUGGGGAAUUAGGGCUUGAAAUUGGAGACUUUGAUUUAAGGAUUUGAGGGGUCAUUAGUGGUCGAAUUUUGAUGUAAUUGGUAUGUAUGAACUCAUGAGAGUUCAAGGAUUCUAGUUUUGUAAUUUUUAUCGGAAUCCGAGACGUGGGCCCGGGGGUCGGGUUUGGCCAAUUUUGGGAUUUUUGAUGUAAUUCGAUUAUUUUCGCUUGGGAUUUGUUCAUUUAGUGCAUAUUAAUAGUAUGAUUCUAAUUUUGGUUAGAUUUGGAGAAUUGGAGGACGAUUCGAGGAGCAAAGGCAUCGCGGGCUAGAGUUUGGACCGGAUUAAUGUAAGUAAUGAUUGUAAAUGUUGUCUUGAGGGUAUGAAACUCCGGAUUUCACAUCGUUGUGCUACUUUGAGGUAACACACACGUCAGAUGACGAGCGUGGGGUUGUGCACCGUUGGGGAUUAUGACUUGUUCCGUCCCGUACGACUAUUAAGUUGCGUAUUUGAUUGAAGACUGUUUGAAAUCAUUGUGUUUUGGAAAGUAUUACUAUGUUUUGGGCUAAAUGCCAUAUUUGGGCCUCAUGACAACUGUUUGGACCCUUAGGGGAUUUUUUUACUACUAUUCCUCACUAUUUUGACCUCAUAUUUGUACUCAGUGAUGUUGUAUUCUACUGUUUUCAUACCUCAGCCGUAUUUACUCCGUUUUGACAUUUUAAAUGAUGUGUUGGGCUGAGCAUCAUGAUUUACUGUUGCCCGAGUGGCUUGAGAGGUUUCUAACUGAGUGAGGCCGAGGGCCUGUGUUGUGAGGAUUGUUAUGGAAUUGGGCUAUGCACCGCAACAUGUGUACUGAUUUGUGAUAUAUGAGAGGCCGAGGGCCUGAUUUGUUAUGCCACGAGAUGGCUUGUGAUAGCGCUUGGGCUGUAGGAGCCCUUCUGGAAUCUGAACACCCCCAGUGAGCGCGGGUACCCAGUUUGAGAGAUGUGAUAUUGCCCGAGGGGCUGAUGUUGUUUCAUGUUAUUGCCCGAGGGGCUGAUGUUGUUUCAUGUUAUUGCCCGAGGGGCUGAUGUUGUUUCAUGUUGUUGCCCGAGGGGCUGAUUAUGAGUGAUUAUGAGGUAGCCGGGGGGCUGGUUUCUGUUGAUAUUUUGCCCGAGGGGCGGUUGUGGUAUAUGUUUUGCCCAAGGGACUGUUUACGCUUUCUACCCUUUUACUCACUGUUUUCAUCACUCGUUUGAAACUAUUGAAAGAUGUUGUAAAAAUGUUUUACUGAGCUGAGUUAUUUUUACGAGUUUUGUUGAUUUACUGUAUUAAUUCUGCAUAUAUACUAUUUUUUUGUGGUGCUAUGACGUGAAAUUACCUGUUUCUUACUACUCAGGUGCUUUUACUUUUAUUACUUACUAAGUUGGCGUACUCACAUUACUCCCUGCACCUUGUGUGUAGAUACAGGAGUCUCGGGGCGCCAUAGUGAGUGCUGAUAAGUCUUCCUGCCGGUCUCCGAAGUUGACUAGGUAGCUGCUUGGUGUUCGCAGCCCAGUGCUUCUCUUUCAUAUCUUAUUCAGAUUGUCGUAGUAUUUUAUUUUUGGACUAUGCUGUAUUUUCUUAUUCCUAGACGA
This 7979-nucleotide long non-coding RNA is filed under the name Nicotiana tabacum (common tobacco). RNAcentral's name for it is "long non-coding RNA (NTAB_LNC013387)". Lineage: Eukaryota; Viridiplantae; Streptophyta; Magnoliopsida; Solanales; Solanaceae. The record is from RNAcentral.